AAACUUUCAACAACGGAUCUCUUGGUUCUGGCAUCGAUGAAGAACGCAGCGAAAUGCGAUAAGUAGUGUGAAUUGCAGAAUUCAGUGAAUCAUCGAAUCUUUGAACACACAUUGCGCCCCUUGGUAUCCCGAGGGGCAUGCCUGUUCGAGCGUCAUUU
RNAcentral lists this ribosomal RNA (158 nucleotides) under uncultured Cenococcum. Its description in RNAcentral is "5.8S ribosomal RNA". It matches the Rfam family "5.8S ribosomal RNA". From Rfam's summary of the family: 5.8S ribosomal RNA (5.8S rRNA) is a component of the large subunit of the eukaryotic ribosome. The record is from RNAcentral. Lineage: Eukaryota; Fungi; Ascomycota; Dothideomycetes; Gloniales; Gloniaceae.